GAUGAACGCUGGCGGUAUGCUUAACACAUGCAAGUCGAACGGACUCUUCGGAGUUAGUGGCGGACGGGUGAGUAAGGCGUGAGAAUAUGGCUUUGGGUUUGGGACAACUACUGGAAACGGUGGCUAAUACCGGAUGUGCCGUGAGGUAAAAGAGAAAUUGACUGGAGAUGAGCUCGCGUCUGAUUAGCUAGUUGGUGAGGUAAAGGCUCACCAAGGCAGCGAGCAGUAGCUUAUCUGAGAUGAUGACCGGCCACAAGUGGACUGGGAGGCGGCCCAGACUCCUACUGCGGGAAGGAGUGAGGAAUUACCCGGAAAGGGCGAAAGACUGACGAAGCAAUACCGAGCGAGGAAAGAAGUCACUUGGGUUGAAAACCUCUUUUCUUAGGGAAGAACAAAAUGACGGUACCUAAGGAAUCAGCAACGGCUAACUCCGUG
This 435-nucleotide ribosomal RNA is filed under the name uncultured bacterium. RNAcentral describes it as "partial 16S ribosomal RNA". It matches the Rfam family "Bacterial small subunit ribosomal RNA", at positions 28 to 507 of the family's 1533-position model. The record is from RNAcentral.